GGCCUAACACAUGCAAGUCGAACGGUAGCACAGAGAGCUUGCUCUCGGGUGACGAGUGGCGGACGGGUGAGUAAUGUCUGGGAAACUGCCUGAUGGAGGGGGAUAACUACUGGAAACGGUAGCUAAUACCGCAUAACGUCGCAAGACCAAAGAGGGGGACCUUCGGGCCUCUUGCCAUCAGAUGUGCCCAGAUGGGAUUAGCUAGUAGGUGGGGUAAUGGCUCACCUAGGCGACGAUCCCUAGCUGGUCUGAGAGGAUGACCAGCCACACUGGAACUGAGACACGGUCCAGACUCCUACGGGAGGCAGCAGUGGGGAAUAUUGCACAAUGGGCGCAAGCCUGAUGCAGCCAUGCCGCGUGUAUGAAGAAGGCCUUCGGGUUGUAAAGUACUUUCAGCGGGGAGGAAGGUGUUGUGGUUAAUAACCGCAGCAAUUGACGUUACCCGCAGAAGAAGCACCGGCUAACUCCGUGCCAGCAGCCGCGGUAAUACGGAGGGUGCAAGCGUUAAUCGGAAUUACUGGGCGUAAAGCGCACGCAGGCGGUCUGUCAAGUCGGAUGUGAAAUCCCCGGGCUCAACCUGGGAACUACAUUCGAAACUGGCAGGCUAGAGUCUUGUAGAGGGGGGUAGAAUUCCAGGUGUAGCGGUGAAAUGCGUAGAGAUCUGGAGGAAUACCGGUGGCGAAGGC
Molecule: ribosomal RNA, 686 nt
Filed under: uncultured Enterobacterales bacterium
Lineage: Bacteria; Pseudomonadati; Pseudomonadota; Gammaproteobacteria; Enterobacterales
Description: bacterial SSU rRNA
Rfam family: Bacterial small subunit ribosomal RNA
Source: RNAcentral